This 592-nucleotide ribosomal RNA is filed under the name uncultured bacterium. Its description in RNAcentral is "bacterial SSU rRNA". It matches the Rfam family "Bacterial small subunit ribosomal RNA", at positions 334 to 917 of the family's 1533-position model. The record is from RNAcentral.
UACUCCUACGGGAGGCAGCAGUGGGGAAUUUUGGACAAUGGGCGAAAGCCUGAUCCAGCAAUGCCGCGUGUGUGAAGAAGGCCUUCGGGUUGUAAAGCACUUUUGUCCGGAAAGAAAUCCUUGACUCUAAUACAGUCGGGGGAUGACGGUACCGGAAGAAUAAGCACCGGCUAACUACGUGCCAGCAGCCGCGGUAAUACGUAGGGUGCAAGCGUUAAUCGGAAUUACUGGGCGUAAAGCGUGCGCAGGCGGUUUGCUAAGACCGAUGUGAAAUCCCCGGGCUCAACCUGGGAACUGCAUUGGUGACUGGCAGGCUAGAGUAUGGCAGAGGGGGGGGUAGAAUUCCACGUGUAGCAGUGAAAUGCGUAGAGAUGUGGAGGAAUACCGAUGGCGAAGGCAGCCCCCUGGGCCAAUACUGACGCUCAUGCACGAAGGCGUGGGGAGCAAACAGGAUUAGAUACCCUGGUAGUCCACGCCCUAAACGAUGUCAACUAGUUGUUGGGGAUUCAUUUCCUUAGUAACGUAGCUAACGCGUGAAGUUGACCGCCUGGGGAGUACGGUCGCAAGAUUAAAACUCAAAGGAAUUGACGGA